Molecule: transfer RNA, 75 nt
Filed under: Deinococcus sp. KSM4-11
Lineage: Bacteria; Thermotogati; Deinococcota; Deinococci; Deinococcales; Deinococcaceae
Description: tRNA-Met
Rfam family: tRNA
About the family: Transfer RNA (tRNA) molecules are approximately 80 nucleotides in length. Their secondary structure includes four short double-helical elements and three loops (D, anti-codon, and T loops). Further hydrogen bonds mediate the characteristic L-shaped molecular structure. tRNAs have two regions of fundamental functional importance: the anti-codon, which is responsible for specific mRNA codon recognition, and the 3' end, to which the tRNAs corresponding amino acid is attached (by aminoacyl-tRNA synthetases). tRNAs cope with the degeneracy of the genetic code in two manners: having more than one tRNA (with a specific anti-codon) for a particular amino acid; and 'wobble' base-pairing, i.e. permitting non-standard base-pairing at the 3rd anti-codon position.
Source: RNAcentral
GGCCUGGUCGCUCAGCGGCAGAGCACCUGUUUCAUACGCAGGGAGGCGCAGGUUCGAGUCCUGCCCAGGUCACCA